RNAcentral lists this ribosomal RNA (197 nucleotides) under uncultured Cellulomonas sp. RNAcentral's name for it is "partial 16S ribosomal RNA". It matches the Rfam family "Bacterial small subunit ribosomal RNA", at positions 1190 to 1382 of the family's 1533-position model. Lineage: Bacteria; Bacillati; Actinomycetota; Actinomycetes; Micrococcales; Cellulomonadaceae. The record is from RNAcentral.
UCAUCCAUCCGCCCUUAUGCCUUGGGCUUCACGCAUGCUACAAUGGCCGGUACAAAGGGCUGCGAUACCGCGAGGUGGAGCGAAUCCCAGAAAGCCGGUCUCAGUUCGGAUUGGGGUCUGCAACUCGACCCCAUGAAGUCGGAGUCGCUAGUAAGUCGCAGAUCAGCAACGCUGCGGUGAAUACGUUCCCGGGCCUU